RNAcentral lists this ribosomal RNA (496 nucleotides) under uncultured bacterium. Its description in RNAcentral is "partial 16S ribosomal RNA". It matches the Rfam family "Bacterial small subunit ribosomal RNA", at positions 28 to 506 of the family's 1533-position model. The record is from RNAcentral.
GAUGAACGCUGGCGGCGUGCCUAAUACAUGCAAGUCGAGCGAACAGACGAGGAGCUUGCUCCUCUGACGUUAGCGGCGGACGGGUGAGUAACACGUGGAUAACCUACCUAUAAGACUGGGAUAACUUCGGGAAACCGGAGCUAAUACCGGAUAAUAUAUUGAACCGCAUGGUUCAAUAGUGAAAGACGGUUUUGCUGUCACUUAUAGAUGGAUCCGCGCCGCAUUAGCUAGUUGGUAAGGUAACGGCUUACCAAGGCAACGAUGCGUAGCCGACCUGAGAGGGUGAUCGGUCACACUGGAACUGAGACACGGUCCAGACUCCUACGGGAGGCAGCAGUAGGGAAUCUUCCGCAAUGGGCGAAAGCCUGACGGAGCAACGCCGCGUGAGUGAUGAAGGUCUUCGGAUCGUAAAACUCUGUUAUUAGGGAAGAACAAAUGUGUAAGUAACUAUGCACGUCUUGACGGUACCUAAUCAGAAAGCCACGGCUAACUACGU